GAAAUACUCCUCCAUUCUAAAAUUAUUGUCUUAGAUUUAUCUAAAUAUAAAUAUAUCUAGUCAUGUUUUAAUAAUUAGAUACAUUAGUUUUUAAACAAAUCUAAGAGAAGAAUUUUGGAACGGAGGAAGUACUAA
Molecule: non-coding RNA, 135 nt
Organism: Hordeum vulgare subsp. vulgare (domesticated barley)
Lineage: Eukaryota; Viridiplantae; Streptophyta; Magnoliopsida; Poales; Poaceae
Source: Rfam